UACGUAUGGUGCAAGCGUUAUCCGGAUUUACUGGGUGUAAAGGGAGCGCAGGCGGUUCGGCAAGUCUGAUGUGAAAGCCCGGGGCUCAACCCCGGUACUGCAUUGGAAACUGUCGAACUAGAGUGUCGGAGGGGUAAGUGGAAUUCCUAGUGUAGCGGUGAAAUGCGUAGAUAUUAGGAGGAACACCAGUGGCGAAGGCGACUUACUGGACGAUAACUGACGCUGAGGCUCGAAAGCGUGGGGAGCAAACAGGAUUAGAUACC
RNAcentral lists this ribosomal RNA (263 nucleotides) under uncultured bacterium. RNAcentral describes it as "partial 16S ribosomal RNA". It matches the Rfam family "Bacterial small subunit ribosomal RNA", at positions 524 to 786 of the family's 1533-position model. The record is from RNAcentral.